This 514-nucleotide small RNA is filed under the name uncultured Gigaspora. RNAcentral describes it as "SSU rRNA". It matches the Rfam family "Eukaryotic small subunit ribosomal RNA", at positions 569 to 1088 of the family's 1831-position model. Lineage: Eukaryota; Fungi; Glomeromycota; Glomeromycetes; Diversisporales; Gigasporaceae. The record is from RNAcentral.
AGCAGCCGCGGUAAUUCCAGCUCCAAUAGCGUAUAUUAAAGUUGUUGCAGUUAAAAAGCUCGUAGUUGAAUUUCGGGGUUCUACCGUUGGUCGGGCUUUGUCUGUACUGACGUGUAGAAUUUCUACCUUCUGGGGAACCAUCAUGUUAUUAAUUUAACGUGGUGGGAAACCAGGACCUUUACCUUGAAAAAAUUAGAGUGUUCAAAGCAGGCUUAUGUCUGAAUACAUUAGCAUGGAAUAAUAGAAUAGGACGGUGGUCCUGUUUUGUUGGUUUCUGAAUCACCGUAAUGAUUAAUAGGGAUAGUUGGGGGCAUUAGUAUUCAAUUGUCAGAGGUGAAAUUCUUGGAUUUAUUGAAGACUAACUUCUGCGAAAGCAUUUGCCAAGGAUGUUUUCAUUAAUCAAGAACGAAAGUUAGGGGAUCGAAGACGAAUCAGAUACCGUCGUAGUCUUAACCAUAAACUAUGCCGACUAGGGAUCGGAUGAUGUUAAUUUUUAAUGACUCAUUCGGCGCCU